This 377-nucleotide unclassified non-coding RNA is filed under the name plant metagenome. RNAcentral's name for it is "partial contains 5.8S ribosomal RNA, internal transcribed spacer 2, and large subunit ribosomal RNA". The stretch from base 1 to 105 matches the Rfam family "5.8S ribosomal RNA", at positions 50 to 154 of the family's 154-position model. The record is from RNAcentral.
GAAAUGCGAUAAGUAAUGUGAAUUGCAGAACUCAGUGAAUCAUCGAAUCUUUGAACGCACCUUGCGCUCCUUGGUAUUCCUUGGAGCAUGCCUGUUUGAGUAUCAUGAAAUCUUCAAAGUAAAUCUUUUGUUAACUCAAUUGGUUUCUACUUUGGUAUUGGAGGUCUUUGCAGCUUCACACCUGCUCCUCUUUGUUCAUUAGCUGGAUCUCAGUGUUAUGCUUGGUUCCACUCGGCGUGAUAAGUUAUCUAUCGCUGAGGACACUGUAAAAGGUGGCCAAGGUAAAUGCAGAUGAACCGCUUCUAAUAGUCCAUUGACUUGGACAAUACUUUUAUGAUCUGAUCUCAAAUCAGGUAGGACUACCCGCUGAACUUAAG